CCGAUUUGCUAAACUAUAAACAGCAUUGCAUAAGGCUACAUAAGUCAUUCCUGCGUGAAACCUUUUCAAAGAAAGUAAUUAUGAGGAAUCUGAGCGCUAUUUCCACUCUUUGGGUGGUGCUUCUCGUGGGUAUCAUCGUACCAGUCCUAUGUGCGCCCACAGAAGCGGAAAAAGAUGUGAGAGAAAUUACUGGUGUUGAUGAUGAUGGAAACCCGCGUGACAAGCGCAUCUUCAGCUGGAUCUGGAACACAAUUAAAAGUAUCUUUGGAUAAGAAAAUGGACUCGCUGCAAAAAUUUUGAUUGUUUGGUGUAAAAUAUUGACAAUGUUUGAAUCAUAAUAAUAAUACCUGACAAUAACCUUUAGCA
Molecule: long non-coding RNA, 366 nt
Organism: Neocloeon triangulifer
Lineage: Eukaryota; Metazoa; Arthropoda; Insecta; Ephemeroptera; Baetidae
Exons: 3
Source: RefSeq, a predicted model, not a curated record